AGAAUAAAGGUAUCAAUGAUGUCCUCUGCCUCGUAUGCGAUGUCUCUGAUUUCAGCUAUGCAAUUGCGAACGCGCUCAUCAUGGUCUUGCUUGCUAUCUGCAUCUUUCAAGAAGCACCGAAUCCGCUUCAGUUCAGUUUGCAACUGCUCAAUUCCCUGCCGCACGCCAUAAAGUGAGCUUGCUUCACGAACAACGGCAUCAGCAAUUCUUUCAAUGGCAAAGGUAACAAUAGCCUCAACCAUUGUGUUCUUUUUUUUUUUUUAAUAACCAAAGAGGUGAAAAAUAUCUCAACUUGUUUAGAUGAUACACUUUUGAUGGGUAUCUUUGCUUGAGGAAAUAAGGAAUUGCAUUUAGAACAUUUCAUUUUCUUCUUAAUCUUUCCCUAAUGUCUUCUGUGAUUAUUGAUUCUUUGCUAGGAACGAGAGCAAGAUACUAGGCUUUGGAGCAGAGCAAACCAAAAAUUAAAAGUGAAAAAGCAAUUAGCUUCCUCUUAUUUUUUGCUUAAAUAAAUAAUAGAUGAACAAUCUAAAGAUUCUCAACAUUUAAAGAGGUAAUAGAUGAACAAUGAAUAUAAUACAAAUUUUAAUAGUAAAGGAAGUAAUGAGAAGAAUUGGACUUUCAUUUACUAUAAAGAAAGCAGUAAUUUAUCUAUGUGAAUUAUUUUUUAUUUAUUUGUAAUUGACAAUUGAAACACUCUUUUUUAUCAAUUUUAUAAGUUCUUAUUUUUAUUUUAUGUGUUGAUCAAAUUAAUCAGAUAAUAGGAAUCAAUACAAUUAAUUGAUCAAAUUAAAAACUUUAAAGAUAAUAAUAAUUUUUCAUAUUACUUUAGACCAAUCCAAUCUGGUUCUUAGAAAAAUAAAAGGGUUAAGAUAUCAUGUAGUUUUCUUCUGCCCUUGUUAACUGAGUGAUAAAUCCAAGACAAUAAUGUUCAUACCCAAGAACAAAUUUAUUAUAUUAAACAAUGAGUUUGUUACAUGAUUUUCAGAAAGGGAAGAACAAGAAUUCUGCCUUGGAAGUGAUUUGUAGUUCAUUACAAGAAUUGUUCCUGUUUCCCCAAUGGCCUGGUUACAGAUAAAAUAAAGAC
RNAcentral lists this long non-coding RNA (1084 nucleotides) under Manihot esculenta (cassava). RNAcentral describes it as "long non-coding RNA (MESC_LNC005765)". The record is from RNAcentral. Lineage: Eukaryota; Viridiplantae; Streptophyta; Magnoliopsida; Malpighiales; Euphorbiaceae.